RNAcentral lists this ribosomal RNA (342 nucleotides) under Vibrio cholerae. Its description in RNAcentral is "partial 23S ribosomal RNA". It matches the Rfam family "Bacterial large subunit ribosomal RNA", at positions 1388 to 1730 of the family's 2925-position model. The record is from RNAcentral. Lineage: Bacteria; Pseudomonadati; Pseudomonadota; Gammaproteobacteria; Vibrionales; Vibrionaceae.
CCCCUAAGGUGAGGCCGAAAGGCGUAAUCGAUGGGAAACGGGUUAAUAUUCCCGUACUUCUGACUAUUGCGAUGGGGGGACGGAGAAGGCUAGGUGGGCCAGGCGACGGUUGUCCUGGUUCAAGUGCGUAGGCUUGAGAGUUAGGUAAAUCCGGCUCUCUCUAAGGCUGAGACACGACGUCGAGCUACUACGGUAGUGAAGUCAUUGAUGCCAUGCUUCCAGGAAAAGCCUCUAAGCUUCAGAUAGUCAGGAAUCGUACCCCAAACCGACACAGGUGGUCGGGUAGAGAAUACCAAGGCGCUUGAGAGAACUCGGGUGAAGGAACUAGGCAAAAUGGUACCG